Long non-coding RNA from Solanum pennellii, 351 nucleotides. RefSeq lists it as uncharacterized. The record is from RefSeq and is a predicted model, not a curated record. The transcript has 3 exons. NCBI's taxonomy places the organism in Eukaryota, Viridiplantae, Streptophyta, Magnoliopsida, Solanales, Solanaceae.
CAAUUCUUCUUCAUCUUUCAAUUCUCACUUCUCUUUUCCGUUCUUUUUCUUCAGAAAUUGGGAAGUAUAUCUCUAAAGAUAUUCAUAACAAUCCUUUUGAUUAAGGGUUUGAAAAUCAUAAAAUCACUCUCUAAUGGUCAAAUCUAAGAGGAUUACAAGAGGAUCCACUGCUAAAAUAACGGAAGAAAGAUGAUCAAAGAGUUGGUGUUUGCAUCUUUUUGUAUCACUACUAAUAAAAGUAAAAAAACAAAUUGGGUGUAAAAGAUUUCGAAAACUUGUUGAAGACCACGUUGAGGAAGAAAAAUUUUCUAUUAGUUUGUUUUGCAUUUAUAGUUCUUUUUUAGAAUUUGG